GACGAACGCUGGCGGCGUGCUUAACACAUGCAAGUCGAGCGGUAAGGCCCUUUCGGGGGUACACGAGCGGCGAACGGGUGAGUAACACGUGGGUGACCUGCCCUCAGCUCUGGGAUAAGCCUGGGAAACCGGGUCUAAUACUGGAUAUGACUCCAUGACGCAUGUUGUGGGGUGGAAAGCCUUGUGCGGCUGAGGAUGGGCCCGCGGCCUAUCAGCUUGUUGGUGGGGUGANGGCCUACCAAGGCGACGACGGGUAGCCGGCCUGAGAGGCGACCGGCCACACUGGGACUGAGACACGGCCCAGACUCCUACGGGNGGCAGCAGUGGGGAAUCUUGCGCAAUGGGCGAAAGCCUGACGCAGCGACGCCGCGUGAGGGAUGACGGCCUGG
This 389-nucleotide ribosomal RNA is filed under the name uncultured bacterium. Its description in RNAcentral is "bacterial SSU rRNA". It matches the Rfam family "Bacterial small subunit ribosomal RNA", at positions 28 to 419 of the family's 1533-position model. The record is from RNAcentral.